RNAcentral lists this non-coding RNA (26 nucleotides) under Rattus norvegicus (Norway rat). The record is from RNAcentral. Lineage: Eukaryota; Metazoa; Chordata; Mammalia; Rodentia; Muridae.
UAGAUGGAGUAUGUCAGGGUGGAGGC